Long non-coding RNA from Erinaceus europaeus (western European hedgehog), 1544 nucleotides. RefSeq lists it as uncharacterized. The record is from RefSeq and is a predicted model, not a curated record. The transcript has 2 exons. NCBI's taxonomy places the organism in Eukaryota, Metazoa, Chordata, Mammalia, Eulipotyphla, Erinaceidae.
AUGGUUUUGUUAAUUAAUCCUUUCUUAAAUUAAAAAAAAAAAAACUAAAGUGUAAACUCUUCAUAGAAAUGAUAAUACAUUAGAACGCCUCGUGCCAAACUCACAUAUGAUAGUUGUCUACAAAUAGAAAAAAAAAAAUUUGUAGUAUCUUUUUUUUUAUUUUUAUUUAUAAAAAAGAAACACUGACAAAAAAACAUAGGAUAAGAGGGGUACAACUCCAAAUAAAAAAUUUCUAAUCCACAAAUGUCAGCACAUAUACUCUGUACUUUUAAGAACUCUGGGUGAUAAUUUUAGAACAAUGCUAAUCACCAAGAUACUUCUUACCUAUAGAUUUCUAUAACUACAGAAGCCUAGAUUCUUCUCUACAAGUCAGAGAACUCAAGAUCUACAAAAGGAAGUUUUUACUUUGGUUUAAAGAUGGCCCUACCCAGGUGGGGUGAGUGUCCAGGUCCUGGUGGGGGUUGUAUUGUUAUGCUGAAAACUGAGAAAUGUUAUGCAUAUGCAAACUACUACAUUUACUGUCUACUCUAAAGCAUUAAUCCUCCAAUAAGGAAAUUAAAAAAAAAAAAGAUGGCCCCACCAAAAUUUGACUCAUAAUUUCAUGAUUACUCAGAUUUUUUUCUUUCUUUCUUUUAAAUUUUUGUUUUGUUUUUAUCUUUUAGCCACCAGGGUUAUUGAUGAGGCUUGGUGCCAGCACUACAAAUCCACCUCUCCCAGCUGCCUUUAUUUUAUUUAUUUUAUUUUAUUUUAUUUUAUUAUUUUACAGGACAUACAGAAAUAGCAAGGGAAAAGGAAGAGAAAAAAACAUCUACAGACGUUCUUCACCACUCAUGAAGUGUCUCUGCUACAGGUGGGGGGCAAGGGGCUUACACUUAGUACUAUGUGCACUUAACCGGGAGUGCCACUGCCCUGCCCAAUGCCCAGCUUUUCUAAAUAUCAAUUGCCUGAUUUUCAGCUAUAGGUAUAACAAUAACUACCUCAAACCUUUUGGCAUGCCUUCUAAUUUGAUUGCAAGUGGUAAAGCAUACAAAAAUCUCUGACUUACUGUGGAUUCUGAGGUUCCAGAUGCUGGCAUGAUGCCAACCAGACUUCCCUGGACAGACAACCCCACCAAUAUGUCCUGGAGCUCUGCUUCCCCAGAGGCCUUCCCUACUAGGGAAAGAAAGAUAGGCUGGAAGUAUGUAUCAACCUGUCAACGCCCAUGUUCAGGGGAAGUAAUUACAGAAGCAGACCUUCCACCUUCUGCAUCCCACAAUGACCUUGGGUCCAUAUUCCCAAAGGGUUAAAGAAUAGGAAAGCUAUCAGGGGAGAGGAUGGGAUACAGAGUUCUGGUGAUGGGAAUUGUGUGAAGUUGUACCCCUCUUAUCUUACGGGUUGGUCAGCGUUUUCUUUUUAUAAAUAGAAAAUUAAAUAAAAAAGAGAGUUCAUUUUGUUCUAAUGGAUGGAAAUUAAACGUUUGGUGGUUGUUGUGAUGAGUGUAUACAGAUGUCAAAUCAUACUGCUGCUCUCCUUAAACAUAAAUGUUACAUAAAUUUAAAAAUAUA